RNAcentral lists this ribosomal RNA (253 nucleotides) under uncultured bacterium. Its description in RNAcentral is "partial 16S ribosomal RNA". It matches the Rfam family "Bacterial small subunit ribosomal RNA", at positions 524 to 776 of the family's 1533-position model. The record is from RNAcentral.
UACGAAGGGUGCAAGCGUUGUUCGGAAUUACUGGGCGUAAAGCGCGCGUAGGCGGGUCGCUAAGUCAGGGGUGAAAUGCCGAGGCUCAACCUCGGAACUGCCUUUGAUACUGGCAACCUGGAGUUCGGGAGAGGUGAGUGGAAUUCCGAGUGUAGAGGUGAAAGUCGUAGAUAUUCGGAGGAACACCAGAAGCGAAGGCGGCUCACUGGCCCGAUACUGACGCUGAGGCGCGAAAGCGUGGGGAGCAAACAGG